This 1166-nucleotide long non-coding RNA is filed under the name Homo sapiens (human). Its description in RNAcentral is "non-protein coding lnc-RTL1-5:2". The record is from RNAcentral. Lineage: Eukaryota; Metazoa; Chordata; Mammalia; Primates; Hominidae.
CCCCAGUGCCAUGGCACCAGGAGGGCUUUGUUCCAAACCAACUUUGAGCUGUGAGUAUUAUCAGAGGCCCCUCCCCUGCCUGGAGGCCUUUCGGAAACUACUUUAUCUCUUGCAGGUCCUUUUCUGGAAAGGUCAAAGGGAUGAGAGGGGUCUCUGCAGUGUCCUGGAUCUGGUUUCAACCUCACCUUCUCCAUGUAUGAGAAGACAAGUCACUUGGAUUCACCAUGCCUCGGUUUCCCCAGAUGGCAAGCAGGACUCAGCCUUUUGUACCUGGUCCAUCAGAGGACGAGCUUUCACGUGUUAGCCAACACCUCCGUCAUCACCAUCAUUGCCAUGAUCAUCGUCCUCAUCACCUUGACACGCUGAGCUUUGUAGCUUAAAAACAAAAUGCCUUUAACAAUGUGCAACAGGUCUAAGAUGCCACCUUUGGGAUCAGAUGGGAGUUUGGGAUUAUUUCUAUUUUCCAAUUGUUCAGCCCCCUCCCACUAAGUGCGAAGCGGAGAGCCAUUAAGUUGCAAUGGAUUUGAUUCACCACGUGGCCCCUCAAAUCCUUUCUGGAACAAGAUUGGAUGUAAAAAUAAAUCAAAUAAAUGCAUUUUCAGCGUGUGCAGCCCAGCCCAGAGCUCCUUGCAGAUGACUUCUUCCUUUCAAGCAUGUGCCCAGCCAGUGCCACUAGGAAAGUGUCAAAGAGAAAAGCCGGCUCUGGCCCCGGGUUGCAUUGGAGCAGUGGAUUGAGCUCUUCAACUCUCAGCACUUCAACACUCCGCUUGUCCCCUAAGGGUUUUCUGAAGGUCACUGAUGCUGGCAGGAAGUGUGGAAAAAGGAUGUUUAUACCUGGGGCCGGGAGAUGGCCUCUCUCAGGCUGGGAGAGACUGGCAGAGCUGCCUGAUAAUGAGAACAAUGCCAUCCACACCAUUGUGAGCACACGGUAAGCCUCAGGCAUGUGGUACACCUGAGAGGCGCUUCUGUGUCUCCUGGAUUGUUUAUGACAAUCAUGACAAGCAGCCACUGCCUUCCCAUUUCACAGCCAAAGGAAGCAUGGUGUGGGCAGAUGCAGUUGCAGUUUGUCUCCAAGGAAGGAAAGUGGCUGAGUUGUAAGUGGCUGAGUUGCAGGCUGGACUUCGGUCCAUAUUAUUAUGGGUUGAACUGUGUUCCUCCCCCCAGAU